This is a non-coding RNA of Myotis davidii, 76 nucleotides long. The record is from Rfam. NCBI's taxonomy places the organism in Eukaryota, Metazoa, Chordata, Mammalia, Chiroptera, Vespertilionidae.
AGAGGUUCUCGGGGGAUGCACCCUGGAACCAGAAAGGAGGGAGCCUGAUUCCAGGGUGUGUCACCCGAGAACCACC